GGGGAGGGAAAUAAGAAGAGCAAAGGGAAGAGAAAGGAAGAAGAAUAGGAAGGAGGAAGGAAGCUCACCUUGGUGCCGAUUGCCCACCUAGUUGCUAGAAUCCCUGCCGGAGAGAUGCACAUGUACCCCAAGGUCGGAAUUGAUUUGAACACUCGGUGGCCGUACUUGGAACCCGAUCCGUUCGAACUUAAACAAGAUGAUGAUGCAGGUACAGUCAUGCUCGUGGUUUGUGACUUUCCUUCCUCUGGACCCGAGUAUAGAGUGGGCGAUUGGUGGAUGCCAGAAGCAGGAGAGCAUGACUAGGACUGUGCAUGUGACUUUUGUGCAUAGGCGGCACCAUGAGAUGCUUGGCGUACUUUUGUUAUUCUGAUACAGAAUUGUGGAUGGUAUACUUUUGGACUUAUUAUUUAUAAGUCAUGGAUGAUUGUAAUGGAAUAACUUGGUUACGUAUAUAUAUGAUAUCACUAGAUGUUCACCAUUUUAA
Macadamia integrifolia is the source of this 484-nucleotide long non-coding RNA. RefSeq lists it as uncharacterized. The record is from RefSeq and is a predicted model, not a curated record. NCBI's taxonomy places the organism in Eukaryota, Viridiplantae, Streptophyta, Magnoliopsida, Proteales, Proteaceae. The transcript is spliced from 3 exons.